This 105-nucleotide microRNA precursor is filed under the name Marmota monax (woodchuck). Lineage: Eukaryota; Metazoa; Chordata; Mammalia; Rodentia; Sciuridae. The record is from RNAcentral.
CACUGAAUCCUCUGGGCAUCUUGUUCAAAUUUAAAUGCUGGUUCAGCAGGUCUGGGACAGGGCCUGAGAUUCUGCAUUUCUAGCAAGCUCCCAGAGGAUGCCAAU